This 497-nucleotide ribosomal RNA is filed under the name uncultured bacterium. Its description in RNAcentral is "partial 16S ribosomal RNA". It matches the Rfam family "Bacterial small subunit ribosomal RNA", at positions 28 to 507 of the family's 1533-position model. The record is from RNAcentral.
GAUGAACGCUGGCGGCGUGCCUAAUACAUGCAAGUCGAGCGAACAGACGAGGAGCUUGCUCCUCUGACGUUAGCGGCGGACGGGUGAGUAACACGUGGAUAACCUACCUAUAAGACUGGGAUAACUUCGGGAAACCGGAGCUAAUACCGGAUAAUAUAUUGAACCGCAUGGUUCAAUAGUGAAAGACGGUUUUGCUGUCACUUAUAGAUGGAUCCGCGCCGCAUUAGCUAGUUGGUAAGGUAACGGCUUACCAAGGCGACGAUGCGUAGCCGACCUGAGAGGGUGAGCGGCCACACUGGAACUGGGACACGGUCCAGACUCCUACGGGAGGCAGCAGUAGGGAAUCUUCCGCAAUGGGCGAAAGCCUGACGGAGCAACGCCGCGUGAGUGAUGAAGGUCUUCGGAUCGUAAAACUCUGUUAUUAGGGAAGAACAAAUGUGUAAGUAACUAUGCACGUCUUGACGGUACCUAAUCAGAAAGCCACGGCUAACUACGUG